This 6563-nucleotide long non-coding RNA is filed under the name Sus scrofa (pig). Its description in RNAcentral is "lncRNA (ENSSSCG00050050207.1)". The record is from RNAcentral. Lineage: Eukaryota; Metazoa; Chordata; Mammalia; Artiodactyla; Suidae.
CUGGUGUGCAACAGUCUUGAUGAGCAAGUUGCAACCCACUUUGCAAAACUGAUACAGUUUUGGAAAAGUUGAGUGUAAAUGCAUUUAAUUGAUUUAAGCUUUUUGUGCACUAGAGAAAAUCACUACUUACAGAGAUUUUGUAGGCAAUUUUUUGUAAAGUUAAGUAUCUCUUUGUAAAGUGGAUAAUGCCCUGUUUUAUGUUGUCUAGGUUUGAGUUUUUGAUUUAUAUUUUCUUUAAGGGAGGAAUGUAUAUCAAAAGAGAGCACAGGAGCAUUGACUUCAGAAAUUACCAGAGGAAAGAAAAGAAAUAGCAAAGAGAAGAGUUUUAUUUACAAAUAAUGUGUAACAUGGUUUCCAAGUUUUACACUGUUAGGGGAAAAGAGAACAUAGGAGCAGAAAAUGAAUGGGUAAUAAUUUGCAGAUGAGAGUCUGGGGAAGGACAAUCUAGUUUACUGAAGAGAUUUUCCUGAGAGAUUGAUGACUGUGUAAUGAGGAAUUUAAAGAUACCCAUGUAAUUCUCUGUCCCAUAUUUUUGUUUAAUUUUACUAUUUGGCUACAAAUUAGGGAAAGAAAUUUAUUUAACAGUUAACAUGAUUAAAACAUCAGCACUUUCUUAAAGUUGUUGGCUUUAUAUUCUGAAGUCAGUCAGUUUCAUUUAUGUAGCAUCUGGUUGAAAUUUAUAUAUUAAGGAUGAUUAUAAAAACAGUAUUUUGCAUGUCACUGGCAUUCAAUAAAUGGUUGCUGAAUUCUACUAAAUUACACUCAGAUACAUUCUACUAAUUCUAACUGGACUAGCUACCUUUAAAUUAAAUAGGCUGUGAGGGUGUUAAAAACCAAGAUAAUGCAAAAUUGGAAAACAUUUUCUUAGAUUAAAUUGGUUAAUUCAUUAUAGAUGUCAAUAACACAUUUAAGACAACUGAGCAAUAGCAGAAAAGACAUUCAUUAAGUUAAAUAUUACACACUAUUAUUUAAAAUUAGCAGGGUAGCAGGUCCCAUUGAGGCUCAGUGGUAACAAGCCUGACUAGUACCCAUAAGGAAGCAGGUUCCAUCCCUGACCCCACUCAGUGGGUUAAAGAUCUGGUGUUGCUGUGGGCUGUGGUGUAGGUGGGUUGGAUAUGGCUUUGCUGUGGCUGUGGGCUUAGGCCAGUAGCUGCAGCUCUGACUCAUCCCCUAGCCUGGGAACUUCCAUACCUGCUGCAUGUGGAAGUUCCCAGGAGUCAAAUCUGAGCUGCCGGCCUACACCACAGCCACAGCAUUGCCAAGUCCGAGCUGCAUCUGGGACCCACACCACAGCUCACGGCAAUGCCAGAUCCUUAACCUACUGAGUGAGACCAAGGACCAAACCUGUGUCCUCAUGGAUGCUAGUUGGGUUUGUUACCACUUAGCCAUGACAGGAACUCCCUAUAUGGGCUUUUUAUUUCUUUUGUCAUUUGGUAAUUUCACUUUAAGAAAAUUAUUUUUAGGAUGGGGGAAGAGUAUAUUUUAGGCUAAGGAGAAGGAACUAGUAGAUGAGCAGGAACUUAUGAUAAAAACAGACAGAAGAAUCAUGUAAUUAAGGAGAAAAUUAUUCUAGUGGAAGGAAUGAUAGAAUAAAGAAUAUAAUUGGAAGGGUCAGAAGGAAGCAAAGGCAUUUACCCCUCAACUUGAGAGAAGCAGGUAAGGAUGGGCAAAAAUAGACUAAAUUUAGAGGUGGAGGAAACUUGGUAAUUAAAGGGGGAGGAGAAAGAAGCAAACAUUUUAUUCAUUUAUUCUCUGCCAGGCAUUGUGCCAUGUGUUAUGUGAAAUAAUCUUACUUAAUCUUCAUACAUCCCUAUGAAGCAGGUUUUAGUCUUUCUAAUCUAUAGCUAAGGGCACAGACGAGUUCAGGAAUUUGGCCAAAGUAUCGCCUCUGAAAACUGAAACUUAUAUUAGUAUUUACUCAAUAUGAUUCCAAAGCUUUAAGUCAAAAUAUUCAUUUUUGCUUCCUAUGACUGGACAGAACACAGUUAGGCAUAUAUGUUUGUGUAUAUUUGCAUAUAUGUGCAUAAGAGCAGCUAGAUCUUAUGUAUAUCUAAAUACGCAAAUAUGAAAGUUGAGGUGCGUUGAUACACUUCAUGUGAGCAAAUUCUAAAGCUAGAAGUGUAACCUAGAAGGAGUCCUCUCCAGGUGAUGGUUAUAGCAAUCAUAAUAACAGGUUCAUUUAUUGGGCAACUAUAUACUUGCUGACAGUUUGCAUUUUUUAAUAUUUCUAAUCUCACCAUAAUCAUAAAACGUAGAACUAUUAUCACCAUUUUUAUAGCUGAGGUUGUUGAAGCUGGAAGAAUUUCAGAAACUUGCCUGGGAUCAUGUUGCUAGUAUGUACUGAGCAGGCAUUCAAACCUAACUUUAAAGAACUGUACUUCUCUACAUACCAGAUGUUAGUUCUUUUCUGAUAUUCACUUAUAUCCGUCAAAACUGCUUAGGAUGCCCUUUUCUGGUCACAUAAGCCACUCCAGUGAUUACCACUUACUUUUCAGAUUCAACUCUGUGAAUCUUUGGUUGUUGGAGGGUUUUCUGGUUACGAUUCUGCUAGAUGAGUAUUCUUUGCCUACAAUAGUCUAUUUGAAUAAUCAAAAUAAAAUCAAACAGACCCUCACGUCUAUUUCACUGAAAUGACUAGCCCAGUACCGGGCACAGAGUAUACAGUAACCAAAUGUUUGUUGAUGAUGUUUGUGACCCUCUGGGUAAGGCAUGCCUACUCAACAGGACUGAAGAAACUGUACACCUGUUUAUUUGUACAAAAAUGAAAAACGUAACAUUUAAAAAAAAAUCCCGUGACCAUAUGACUGGUGAUUUUUGUACUUGGUAAAAAUUAAUCAACAGAGUUUGGAAAAUUCACAUUUCAAGAAACUUCAAAGACAGUUGUAAUGAUCAUACACAGUCACUUACCCACUCCCUUUUGCUUUUUUCCCUUUUCCUUUCAUGCCUCUGUGCCCACAGCAUGUGAAAGCAUUGAAAGAAAAUAAGAAUCUUAAACUCAUAAACAUACCUGCUUACCAUCUGGCAGGCAUCCCAGCAGUCUGGUGAUCUCCUUAGUUAUCCAGCAGAUAGUAGAAAAACAAGAGUCCUGUGAAGAUUUCACAUGUUGCCAUAUCCCUGCCAGAUGGUGAUUUGUAAAACAUGGACAAAUUGCACUGGCUCCACUUCCCUCUGACAAUCACAACAGAAACACUGUAGCAAGGGUGUUUAAUUUGAAGCAACUUCCACUGAAUAACUUUUAAGGUAUAAACAUCUAAAGAUUAUUGGGAUAAAAUGUGUCAUUAUCUCCAGAGAGCUGGUCCUCCAGGACCUUACUAUCCUGUGCUCUGCAACUUCUAGGACCCCCCUAAAAAAUCAAUCAAUCAAUCCACAGAGGGCUGGGAAAUGUCAAACCUCAUGGGACAUUUGAUUACUACCUAGUGGUUCUUUGCCACGACAUGAUGCUUUUCUGUCAUCUAAUGAUGGGCUGCAGGACUGAAAAUUAUUUUGACAAAUUUGCCAUUUGGGGCAACUUAGUGAAGUUGAAGCGCGAAGAACAGCUUCUGGAUAGAAGCAGGGAAUUUUACUCUCUAAGUGUUGAUGAAACAGUAAGUAGUUUUAAAAUAAUAUUUUCCCACAGCUUCAGUUAUUCCUUGUGGUUACCUACACAAUACUCAAAUCACUGGUCAGUUUAGAUGAAAAAUGUCAAACACGCGGUUUGGCAUUGGGUAAAUAAACUACCAGUUUGUGGUUCUAACUUUUGCAGGGAGCUUUGAUCUCAAAGCUUACUUGGCCUCUCUGGUAAGCUUUUUCAACUCUUUGAGUGACUGAGAAGUCCAUCUGGAUCCAGCAGACAAAAACUUUUCUGAUAUUAAGGAAAAAGGAUAGAAUAGAACCCCCCCUCCUCCCCUGUUGUAGUAGCUAGAUUUGCUUGGUAGUUUCUGUUCUAUCUGGGGAGUAUACUGGCCAUUUCUUCCUGAAGAUACAGAUGUAAAGCUUUUACAUAACUUUUUUUUUUUUUUUUUUUUUUAGUGGGAGCUUUAUGAAGAUAUACUUACAUAACAAUCAACUGCCCUAUUUAAAGCAUACAUUUCCUUUAUUUUUGGUAUAGUAACAGUUGCGCAAACAUCAGCAUAAUCAAUUUUAGAAUGUUUUCCUCAUCCUGGAAAGAAAUCCCAAACUUAACAGUCACUCCUCAUUUCUCUCUGAACUCCACAGCCACAGGCAACCACUAAUUUACUUUCUGUCUCUCUAGAGUUGCCUGUUGUGGACAUUUAAAUUAAAUGGAAUCAUAAAAUUAGGUGGUCUCUUGUCACUGGCUUCUUUCCCUCAGCAUAUUUUCAAGGUUCACCCAUAUUGUGUGUCAAUACUUCAUCUUUUUUUAAAUUGCCAAAUCAUACUCUGUUGUAUGGAUAUACCACAUUUUAUUUAUCCGCUUUUCAGUUGAUGGAUAUCAGGGUUGUGUCUGUUUUUUGUGGAAACAUGGUUAGAUACAUUUGAAUACAAGUAUUUGUGUGAGUGUAUUUUAUUUUUCUUGGAUGAGUAUACCCAGGAGUGGAAUUGCUGUGUUAAUUGGUAACUUUUUAACCUUUUUUUAAUCUUUGAAGAGCACAGGGACCCUGUUUAUAACUCCUUAUGCCAUGCAGGCAAAGGGUACUGGUGGACUGCAGACACACUGAGUAUCCAUAAUCUAGCAUUUUAGUUCCUAUUCUAGAAUAGUGAAAGGGCAUGGGUUUUAUAAUUAGACAGACCUAAAUUUGAUUCCCAGUCUCCCCACUCAUGACCUUGGACAUGCUUGAUAAUUCUUAAAUUUCAUUCCAUCAUCUGCAAAAUGAGGACGAUGGGACCUAUUUUGCCUGGAAUUUGUGGAAUGUGAUGAUGUAUAGAAAGCAGGUGGCACAGUGCUAAUCAGCACUUUCCAAUAAAAACAGCAACUUUCCAAUAAAAAUUUUUUUUUUUGAUUCUUUGCUUUAUGCUUUUGAGUCCCUGAGGUGUAAGAAUAAACUUAAGGAAAAGCUUUUGGGGAUGAUUUAGAUGAUUAGGCAAGGGUUUUCAUGGCUGAUUUAUAGGCUACUUGGAGGAAGGAAUCACGUUUUUAUGUUUACCUUUUAGAACUACAUUUAAAAUUUAAUAAUCAGAAAACAUUAAAAACGGUGUAUACAAAACACAGCUUGCUGUAGCUUUUAAGAACUUAGUGCUAAAUAAACGACUUUAUUGCUAUUCCUAUGCUGUUGCGUCUCACAUUUUAGUAUCAGGGGGCUUAUUCUAUGUGUAGACCAUCUCAUAAGAAAUUUAAAUGAGAAAGAAGCAUGAUUCUGAGGAUUUUUGUUGUUGUUGUUCUUACUGAAAUAUGUUUGACAUAACACAUUGCGUAAGUGUAAGUUGUACUGAGGAAUAAUUUUUAGUUAGAUUUGCAAAAUGAGACCCUUCCAUAAAGACCUUACUCAUUUAUGAUUUGUAGACACUAGGCCCUUGACUAGCCCAGUAUUGUGAUGUCCACCUAAUUCCAAAAAGAUGAGCGGGGCUCUCUAAAGAAAGUAUUAUAAACUAUAAACAUCUAAAUCUUUAAGAUGUCUUUAGGGCUAUUCCUUUGACUUCAGCAUAAACCAUGCUUAUGGCACACAGAACAAUAUGACUGUUGAAAGAUCAUGAGCAAAGGGAAUUUCAUCAUCUUUCCCAAGAAUGAAAUACCCAUGUGAAAUAAUUUUCAGCGUGUAAAAUCUGGUCUUACGUAGAACUUAAAAUCCUUUUUGCUUCACUUAAAGUUCAUUUCCAUUAAAUCCACUUUCCUGAGGCCAAAGUAUUAUUAAAUAGCAUGACAAUCUGUUAAAAGAAUAGGAAAAUAUUUUCUAGAUUAGCAAGUUUUCUCCAUGUCUUCCAGUGUCUUAAACUAUCCCAGAGAGGUUCAGUGUGGCAUAAAUGGUGUGACCGGUGAAACUGAGAUAUUUCCUUUCACCAAUCUUUGGGUGGUCAUCCUGCCCACCCUUUGAAACCCUAGAGAUAUUUGGAGAAACCAAGAAAGUUUUAUUCACACCUCCAAAGGGAAAGAGUGAGGAGGAGGAAGGAAAGGAAAAAUGUAAAUGGACUGGAAGAUGUGGCUCAGAUAUAUUCUUCUUUACACUUAGAUUUGGACAAAAAUUUAAACCUUUUUUUUAAUGGCUUCAAGUUCCAAGUUUAGGUAUUAUUUAUUAAGUUUAGUUUUUUAAGAUAAUAAAUGUGACUUUAUUAAUCAUAUGCAUUAUCACAUAGCCCCUAUAUUUAUGUAUCAAACCAAAGAGGAAUAUUUGAAUCCCAGUGAUUCCGAUUUAAAUUAUUGAAAAAAAACACACCGCAGUUAUGAUAUCACAGAUAUUCAUAAGUUCUGUAAAUUCUUCUCACAGACAACUCCUGCUUUGUUUUAAAACUAAAUUUGAAUUUCAAGCCUAGAUCACUUCACAGUGUCAUUUUAAAUCGAUAACAUCUGGAAGGGAGGGGAGAGUUCCCCUUUCAGCUCUUUAGAACAGAUUUCAUUUCAAGCCCGCCAGAAAAUUUAGACCCGCUGCAAGUUUAACUUUUGCAUCACGGCUUUAAAAAAAAAAAAAAAAAAA